GAUGAACGCUGGCGGCGUGCUUAACACAUGCAAGUCGAACGAUAAAGCCCAGCCUGCUGGGUGGAUUAGUGGCGAACGGGUGAGUAACACGUGAGUAACCUGCCCUUGACUCUGGGAUAAGCCCGGGAAACUGGGUCUAAUACCGGAUAGGAGCGCCUGUCGCAUGACGGGUGUUGGAAAGAUUUUUCGGUCAUGGAUGGACUCGCGGCCUAUCAGCUUGUUGGUGAGGUAAUGGCUCACCAAGGCGACGACGGGUAGCCGGCCUGAGAGGGUGACCGGCCACACUGGGACUGAGACACGGCCCAGACUCCUACGGGAGGCAGCAGUGGGGAAUAUUGCACAAUGGGCGGAAGCCUGAUGCAGCGACGCCGCGUGAGGGAUGACGGCCUUCGGGUUGUAAACCUCUUUCAAUAAGGAAGAA
RNAcentral lists this ribosomal RNA (421 nucleotides) under Micrococcus sp. oral taxon F54. Its description in RNAcentral is "bacterial SSU rRNA". It matches the Rfam family "Bacterial small subunit ribosomal RNA", at positions 28 to 449 of the family's 1533-position model. Lineage: Bacteria; Bacillati; Actinomycetota; Actinomycetes; Micrococcales; Micrococcaceae. The record is from RNAcentral.